AUCUCAUUCAUUAAUUACAACAAAAAGAGAGGUUACAAAAGUCAUAAUAUAUGUAAAUAAGCAUAAAGCUCUCAUACAUCCAAUCUACAAAAUACAACUAAGUAACCUAAUACGAAAUGAUGAAAUCACUGACAAUGGACAUCGAGCUUAAGAUCAAGAUUGGUGAAACAUGAUUAGUCUCAUCCUCGACUGAAAGGUCUGGUCCGAGAGGAAGAUGCCGGA
Molecule: long non-coding RNA, 222 nt
Filed under: Elaeis guineensis (African oil palm)
Lineage: Eukaryota; Viridiplantae; Streptophyta; Magnoliopsida; Arecales; Arecaceae
Description: long non-coding RNA (EGUI_LNC044545)
Source: RNAcentral